GACGAACGCUGGCGGCGUGCUUAACACAUGCAAGUCGAACGGAAAGGCCCUGCUUUUGUGGGGUGCUCGAGUGGCGAACGGGUGAGUAACACGUGAGUAACCUGCCCUUGACUUUGGGAUAACUUCAGGAAACUGGGGCUAAUACCGGAUAGGAGCUCCUGCUGCAUGGUGGGGGUUGGAAAGUUUCGGCGGUUGGGGAUGGACUCGCGGCUUAUCAGCUUGUUGGUGGGGUAGUGGCUUACCAAGGCUUUGACGGGUAGCCGGCCUGAGAGGGUGACCGGCCACAUUGGGACUGAGAUACGGCCCAGACUCCUACGGGAGGCAACAGUGGGGAAUAUUGCACAAUGGGCGGAAGCCUGAUGCAGCAACGCCGCGUGCAGGAUGACGGCCUUCGGGUUGUAAACCGCUUUCGCCUGUGACGAAGCGUGAGUGACGGUAAUGGGUAAAGAAGCACCGGCUAACUACGU
This 467-nucleotide ribosomal RNA is filed under the name uncultured bacterium. RNAcentral's name for it is "partial 16S ribosomal RNA". It matches the Rfam family "Bacterial small subunit ribosomal RNA", at positions 28 to 506 of the family's 1533-position model. The record is from RNAcentral.